GCCCGCCUAAGUGAAGCCCCACUGGACCCCAGGGACAGAUCCACACCAGCUCUCCAGGUAGGGAGGCUGGGUGGAUAUUUAAUAUUAAUAAUUUGUGUGUAUAUGUGUUUGUCUCUAAGUGUAUGUGUGUGUGUGUCUGUAAGUGUAUGUGUGUGUGUGUGUGUGUGUCUGUGUCUGUAAGUGUAUGUGUGUGUGUCUGUAAGUGUAUGUGUGUGUGUCAGUAAGUGUGUGUGUGUCUGUGGGUCUGUCUGUGUAUGUGUGAGUGUCUGUAAGUGCAUGUGUGAGUAUGUGUAUAUUUGUGUGUAUGUGUUUCAAUGUGAGUGUGUGUGUGUGUAUGUGUUUGUCUGUGAGCAGAGUACUUGUAGAAUAGAAGAAAGAAGGUGCAGAGUACUUGUAGAAUAGAAGAAAGAAGGUGCAGAGUACUUGUAGAAUAGGAGAAAGAAGGAGUAGAGUACUUCUAGUAUAGGGGAAAGAAGGAGUAGAGUACUUCUAGU
Molecule: long non-coding RNA, 494 nt
Filed under: Pelobates cultripes (western spadefoot toad)
Lineage: Eukaryota; Metazoa; Chordata; Amphibia; Anura; Pelobatidae
Source: RNAcentral